AGUUGUAGCAAUACGAUUAUGAGAGUAGCGCACGGGUGCGUAACACGUAUGCAACCUACCUAUAACUGGGGGAUAGCCUCCCGAAAGGGAGAUUAAUACCGCAUAACACUAUGAAGUGGCAUCACUUUAUAUUUAAAUCUACGGAGGUUAUAGAUGGGCAUGCGUCCGAUUAGCUAGUUGGUGAGGUAACGGCUCACCAAGGCUCCGAUCGGUAGGGGGUCUGAGAGGAUGAUCCCCCACACUGGUACUGAGACACGGACCAGACUCCUACGGGAGGCAGCAGUAAGGAAUAUUGGACAAUGGGCGCAAGCCUGAUCCAGCCAUGCCGCGUGAAGGAUGAAGGCCCUAUGGGUCGUAAACUUCUUUUAUACGGGACAAAACCCCUCCUCGUGAGGAGGGUUGAUGGUACUGUAAGAAUAAGGGUCGGCUAACUUCGUGCCAGCAGCCGCGGUAAUACGAAGGACACGAGCGUUAUCCGGAUUUAUUGGGUUUAAAGGGUGCGUAGGCGGAUUAGUAAGUCAGUGGUGAAAGCCCGUCGCUUAACGGCGGAACUGCCAUUGAUACUGCUAGUCUUGAGUAUGGUUGAGGUGGGCGGAAUGUGUCAUGUAGCGGUGAAAUGCUUAGAUAUGACACAGAACACCAAUUGCGAAGGCAGCUCGCUAAGCCAUAACUGACGCUGAGGCACGAAAGCGUGGGGAGCAAACAGGAUUAGAUACCCUGGUAGUCCACGCCCUAAACGAUGAUAACUCGUUGUUGGCGAUACACAGUCAGCGACUAAGCGAAAGCAUUAAGUUAUCCACCUGG
This 804-nucleotide ribosomal RNA is filed under the name uncultured bacterium. RNAcentral's name for it is "bacterial SSU rRNA". It matches the Rfam family "Bacterial small subunit ribosomal RNA", at positions 72 to 876 of the family's 1533-position model. The record is from RNAcentral.